GAGCACGUAGGUGGGUUUGUAAGUCAGAUGUGAAAGCCUCCUGUUCAACGGGAGAAUUGCAUCUGAAACUACUGAUCUUGAGUGUAGGAGGGGAGAAUGGAACUUCUGGUGGAGCGGUGAAAUGCGUAGAUAUCAGAAGGAACGCCGGCGGCGAAAGCGAUUCUCUGGCCUAUUACUGACACUCAGUGUGCGAAAGCUAGGGGAGCAAACGGGAUUAGAUACCCCGGUAGUCCUAGCCGUAAACGAUGGGCACUAAGUAGAGGGGUUUU
This 269-nucleotide ribosomal RNA is filed under the name uncultured Planctomycetota bacterium. RNAcentral's name for it is "uncultured planctomycete partial 16S ribosomal RNA". It matches the Rfam family "Bacterial small subunit ribosomal RNA", at positions 565 to 832 of the family's 1533-position model. Lineage: Bacteria; Pseudomonadati; Planctomycetota. The record is from RNAcentral.